UCCUUUUUUGAUUUUGACUAUGGUGGAAGCACUUCCGGCUCCUUCCGACCCAUCAAGCUCAGCCAGGUGGACGGACUUCGACGAGGGGGUCUUAUUAGAGCCUUUUUCCGAAACGGAAAUGGAAGGCCCGUCGGUGAAUUCUUCGAUCCCUGGGGUGGCGCGCGAUGAGGCCCCAGGUGUAGUACAAAACUCUAGCUUGGAAUCAUCAAUGCGCAAUCGCAUUUUCUAACUAGAGAAUGACAAUAGCCUUUUUCUUC
This 257-nucleotide long non-coding RNA is filed under the name Olea europaea (common olive). Its description in RNAcentral is "long non-coding RNA (OEUR_LNC009163)". Lineage: Eukaryota; Viridiplantae; Streptophyta; Magnoliopsida; Lamiales; Oleaceae. The record is from RNAcentral.